Molecule: ribosomal RNA, 328 nt
Filed under: uncultured eukaryote
Lineage: Eukaryota
Description: partial 18S ribosomal RNA
Rfam family: Eukaryotic small subunit ribosomal RNA
Source: RNAcentral
CCCUUAGAUGUCCGGGGCAGCACGCGCGCUACACUGAAGGAAUCAGCGUGCUAAAACCAUUGUCGAAAGGCAUUGGUAAACCCAUUAAAAUCCUACGUGAUUGGGAUCGGGAAUUGCAAUUAUUUCCCUUGAACGAGGAAUUCCCAGUAAGUGUGGGUCAUAAGCUCGCGUUGAUUACGUCCCUGCCCUUUGUACACACCGCCCGUCGCUGCCCGGGACUGAGCCGUUUCGAGAAAAGCGGGGACUGCUGCUGUCGGGGCUUUCGGGCCUUGGCUUCGGUGGAAACCGCUUUAAUCGCAGUGGCUUGAACCGGGCAAAAGUCGUAACA